AAGACCUUGCGCUUUUGGAGCGGCCGAUGCCUGAUUAGCUAGUUGGUGGGGUAAUGGCCUACCAAAGCUUCGAUCAGUAGCUGGUCUGAGAGGACGGCCAGCCACACUGGGACUGAGACACGGCCCAGACUCCUACGGGAGGCAGCAGUGGGGAAUUUUGGACAAUGGGCGCAAGCCUGAUCCAGCCAUGCCGCGUGAGUGAAGAAGGCCUUCGGGUUGUAAAGCUCUUUCAGCCGGGAAGAAAAGGUUGCGAUUAAUAAUCGCAAUUUAUGACGGUACCGGAAGAAGAAGCACCGGCUAACUACGUGCCAGCAGCCGCGGUAAUACGUAGGGUGCGAGCGUUAAUCGGAAUUACUGGGCGUAAAGGGUGCGCAGGCGGUUUCGUAAGUCAGAUGUGAAAUCCCCGGGCUUAACCUGGGAACU
RNAcentral lists this ribosomal RNA (423 nucleotides) under uncultured bacterium. Its description in RNAcentral is "bacterial SSU rRNA". It matches the Rfam family "Bacterial small subunit ribosomal RNA", at positions 207 to 622 of the family's 1533-position model. The record is from RNAcentral.